UGAAACAAGGUCACGCUUAUACGACCGUACCGCAAACCGACACUGGUGCGCGAGAUGAGUAUUCUAAGGCGCUUGAGAGAACUCAGGGGAAGGAACUCGGCAAAUUGACACCGUAACUUCGGAAGAAGGUGUGCCCUAUUAGUGUGUAGUGAACAACGAAGCAUGAAUGGGUUGCAAAAAAUCGGUGGCUGCGACUGUUUAUUAAAAACACAGCACUCUGCAAACACGAAAGUGGACGUAUAGGGUAUGACGCCUGCCCGGUGCUGGAAGAUUAAAUGAUGGGGUGCAAGCUCUUGAUUGAAGUCCCAGUAAACGGCGGCCGUAACGAUAACGGUCCUAAGGUAGCGAAAUUCCUUGUCGGGUAAGUUCCGACCUGCACGAAUGGCGUAACGAUGGCCACACUGUCUCCUCCUGAGACUCAGCGAAGUUGAAAUGUUUGUGAUGAUGCAAUCUCCCCGCGGAAAGACGGAAAGACCCCAUGAACCUUUACUGUAGCUUUGUAUUGGACUUUGAACAGAUCUGUGUAGGAUAGGUGGGAGGCUUUGAAGCAGGGUCGCUAGAUCUUGUGGAGCCAACGUUGAAAUACCACCCUGGUGUGUUUGAGGUUCUAACCUAGGUCCAUUAUCUGGAUCGGGGACAGUGCAUGGUAGGCAGUUUGACUGGGGCGGUCUCCUCCCAAAGCGUAACGGAGGAGUUCGAAGGUACGCUAGUUACGGUCGGACAUCGUGACGAUAGUGCAAUGGCAUAAGCGUGCUUAACUGCGAGACUGACAAGUCGAGCAGAUGCGAAAGCAGGACAUAGUGAUCCGGUGGUUCUGUAUGGAAGGGCCAUCGCUCAACGGAUAAAAGGUACUCUGGGGAUAACAGGCUGAUACCGCCCAAGAGUUCAUAUCGACGGCGGUGUUUGGCACCUCGAUGUCGGCUCAUCUCAUCCUGGGGCUGUAGCCGGUCCCAAGGGUAUGGCUGUUCGCCAUUUAAAGAGGUACGUGAGCUGGGUUUAAAACGUCGUGAGACAGUUUGGUCCCUAUCUUCCGUGGGCGCUGCAGAUUUGAGGAAGCCUGCUCCUAGUACGAGAGGACCGGAGUGGACACACCUCUGGUGUAUCGGUUGUCACGCCAGUGGCAUUGCCGAGUAGCUAAGUGUGGAAGAGAUAACCGCUGAAAGCAUCUAAGCGGGAAACUCGUUUCAAGAUGAGAUCUGCCGGGGCCUUGAGCCCCCUAAAGAGUCGUUCAAGACCAGGACGUUGAUAGGUCAGGUGUGGAAGCGCAGUAAUGCGUUAAGCUAACCGAUACUAAUUGCUCGUGCGGCUUGACC
Molecule: ribosomal RNA, 1313 nt
Filed under: metagenome
Description: bacterial LSU rRNA
Rfam family: Bacterial large subunit ribosomal RNA
Source: RNAcentral